Molecule: ribosomal RNA, 500 nt
Filed under: uncultured bacterium
Lineage: Bacteria
Description: partial 16S ribosomal RNA
Rfam family: Bacterial small subunit ribosomal RNA
Source: RNAcentral
AUUGAACGCUGGCGGCAUGCCUUACACAUGCAAGUCGAGCGGCAGCACGGGAGCAAUCCUGGUGGCGAGUGGCGAACGGGUGAGUAAUAUAUCGGAACGUGCCCAGUCGUGGGGGAUAACGCAGCGAAAGCUGUGCUAAUACCGCAUACGAUCUAUGGAUGAAAGCGGGGGAUCGCAAGACCUCCCGCGAUUGGAGCGGCCGAUACCAAAUUAGCUAGUUGGUGGGGUAAAGGCCCACCAAGGCGACGAUCUGUAGCUGGUCUGAGAGGACGACCAGCCACACUGGAACUGAGACACGGUCCAGACUCCUACGGGAGGCAGCAGUGGGGAAUUUUGGACAAUGGGCGCAAGCCUGAUCCAGCAAUGCCGCGUGCAGGAUGAAGGCCUUCGGGUUGUAAACUGCUUUUGUACGGAACGAAACGGUCCUUUCUAAUACAGGGGGCUAAUGACGGUACCGUAAGAAUAAGCACCGGCUAACUACGUGCCAGCAGCCGCGGUAA